UAAAUUAAAUUUACUUUAUAUAAAUAUAAUUUUCACUUAUUUCAAAUUUCUAUUACUAUACUAAUUUCCUAUAAAUUUAUUAAUUUUUUCUAUUAAAAUACUUUAACCCCCAUUUAAAUAUUUUAACUUAAAAAUUAUUUUUAUUAAAUCUAUACUAUUAAUUUUUAAUUUUAU
This 174-nucleotide ribosomal RNA is filed under the name Arhopala hellada. RNAcentral describes it as "partial 16S large subunit ribosomal RNA". The record is from RNAcentral. Lineage: Eukaryota; Metazoa; Arthropoda; Insecta; Lepidoptera; Lycaenidae.